UACGUAGGGUGCGAGCGUUGUCCGGAAUUAUUGGGCGUAAAGGGCUCGUAGGCGGUUUGUCGCGUCGGGUGUGAAAACCUUGGGCUUAACUCAGGGCUUGCUUUCGAUACGGGCAGACUAGAGGUAUGCAGGGGAGAACGGAAUUCCUGGUGUAGCGGUGAAAUGCGCAGAUAUCAGGAGGAACACCAGCGGCGAAGGCGGCGCUCUGGGCCGGAACUGACGCUGAGGAGCGAAAGCGUGGGUAGCAAACAGG
This 253-nucleotide ribosomal RNA is filed under the name uncultured bacterium. RNAcentral describes it as "partial 16S ribosomal RNA". It matches the Rfam family "Bacterial small subunit ribosomal RNA", at positions 524 to 776 of the family's 1533-position model. The record is from RNAcentral.